RNAcentral lists this ribosomal RNA (366 nucleotides) under uncultured Lactobacillus sp. RNAcentral's name for it is "bacterial SSU rRNA". It matches the Rfam family "Bacterial small subunit ribosomal RNA", at positions 173 to 525 of the family's 1533-position model. The record is from RNAcentral. Lineage: Bacteria; Bacillati; Bacillota; Bacilli; Lactobacillales; Lactobacillaceae.
AGAAGCAGAUCGCAUGAUCAGCUUUUAAAAAAAGGCGGCGUAAAGCUGUCGCUAUGGGAUGGCCCGCGGUGCAUUAGCUAGUUGGUAAGGUAAAGGCUUACCAAGGCGAUGAUGCAUAGCCGAGUUGAGAGACUGAUCGGCCACAUUGGGACCGAGACACGGCCCAAACUCCUACGGGAGGCAGCAGUAGGGAAUCUUCCACAAUGGACGCAAGUCUGACGGAGCAACGCCGCGUGAGUGAAGAAGGUUUUCGGAUCGUAAAGCUCUGUUGUUGGUGAAGAAGGAUAGAGGUAGUAACUGGCCUUUAUUUGACGGUAAUCAACCAGAAAGUCACGGGCUAACUACGUGCCAGCAGCCGCGGUAAAU